Molecule: transfer RNA, 63 nt
Filed under: Friesea gretae
Lineage: Eukaryota; Metazoa; Arthropoda; Collembola; Poduromorpha; Neanuridae
Description: tRNA-Leu
Source: RNAcentral
AUCAAGUUGGCAGAUUAGUGCUUUUGAUUUAGGGUCUUAAUAUAAAAAGUUUUUUACUUGAUA